Molecule: ribosomal RNA, 451 nt
Filed under: uncultured bacterium
Lineage: Bacteria
Description: partial 16S ribosomal RNA
Rfam family: Bacterial small subunit ribosomal RNA
Source: RNAcentral
GAUGAAUGCUGGUGGCGUGCCUAACACAUGCAAGUCGAGCGGCAGCGAGGGGUGCUUGCACCCUGUCGGCGAGCGGCGAACAGCUGAGUAACGCGUAGGAAUUUGCCCCAAAGUGAGGAAUAACUGCCCGAAAGGGUAGCUAAUGCCGCAUAUGGUCUUCGGAUUAAAGGAUUUAUCCGCUUUGGGAGAAGCCUGCGUUGGAUUAGGUUGUUGGUAGGGUAAUGGCCUACCAAGCCGACGAUCCAUAGCUGGUCUGAGAGGAUGAUCAGCCAGACUGGAACUGAGACACGGUCCAGACUCCUACGGGAGGCAGCAGUGAGGAAUCUUCCACAAUGGGCGAAAGCCUGAUGGAGCAACGCCGCGUGAAGGAUGAAGGCCUUCGGGUUGUAAACUUCUUUUAUGAGUGAAGAAUAUGACGGUAACUCAUGAAUAAGCACCGGCUAACUACGUG